This 230-nucleotide ribosomal RNA is filed under the name uncultured bacterium. RNAcentral's name for it is "partial 16S ribosomal RNA". It matches the Rfam family "Bacterial small subunit ribosomal RNA", at positions 524 to 748 of the family's 1533-position model. The record is from RNAcentral.
UACAGAGGGUGCAAGCGUUGUUCGGAAUUAUUGGGCGUAAAGCGCGUGUAGGCGGCAUGGCAAGUCGGGGUGGUGAAAGCCCUCAGCUUAACUGAGGAAGUGCGCCCCGAAACUGCCGUGCUUGAGUGCCGGAGAGGGUGGCGGAAUUCCCGGUGUAGAGGUGAAAUUCGUAGAUAUCGGGGAGGAACACCGGUGGCGAAGGCGGCGAUCUGGGUAGAUACGUGACGCUG